UCCUUUUCAGGAAUUAAGAACCUAUAGGAGUAUUCAGCAGGAAACGAUCCUUGUGCACUCAAACAACAGUGCAAGGCUUCAAGACCUGGAGGAAUUCUGGCACAGCUCUCAGGAUUGCUCAUGAUUACAUGGCUGUCCAUCAUGGAGACUGAGUGAUCCUUGCUUGAUGGAAACAUUAGCCAUGGGAGCCUCCCCUGCCAUCUCGCCUUUGUUCCUUAUGGCCAUGGGAUGUGGUGUGCAGGAACGGUCAUCAUCUGAUCCUUGUCUACAGAUGCCAUGUGGACACAACCUACGACAAAACUCCACCAUCUUGUUUUUGAUCCUGGUGGUAAACACCUUUCUGACAUGUUGCAUCAAAGGAGAGCCACCUUUUCUUCCCUGCCUGAGUGAGAAGCUGAAUUUCUGUCACCUUGCCAGCAUCACCCUGAAAAUACCUAAAAGAGUAAGUUUCAGGGACCACCAACUGCUCAAGGAGUUAGUUCCAGCACCAAUGUACUUGUACCAACCAGUAAGCUCUACAGCCUAAGUGAGGACCCAAAUCUG
This 543-nucleotide long non-coding RNA is filed under the name Taeniopygia guttata (zebra finch). Its description in RNAcentral is "lncRNA (ENSTGUG00000025521.1)". Lineage: Eukaryota; Metazoa; Chordata; Aves; Passeriformes; Estrildidae. The record is from RNAcentral.